RNAcentral lists this ribosomal RNA (642 nucleotides) under uncultured bacterium. RNAcentral describes it as "bacterial SSU rRNA". It matches the Rfam family "Bacterial small subunit ribosomal RNA", at positions 24 to 648 of the family's 1533-position model. The record is from RNAcentral.
UCAGAUUGAACGCUGGCGGCAUGCCUUACACAUGCAAGUCGAACGGCAGCACGGACUUCGGUCUGGUGGCGAGUGGCGAACGGGUGAGUAAUAUAUCGGAACAUACCCUAGAGUGGGGGAUAACGUAGCGAAAGUUACGCUAAUACCGCAUACGAACUAAGGUUGAAAGUGGGGGAUCGCAAGACCUCAUGCUCAUGGAGUGGCCGAUAUCUGAUUAGCUAGUUGGUGAGGUAAAGGCUCACCAAGGCGACGAUCAGUAGCUGGUUUGAGAGAACGACCAGCCACACUGGAACUGAGACACGGUCCAGACUCCUACGGGAGGCAGCAGUGGGGAAUUUUGGACAAUGGGCGCAAGCCUGAUCCAGCAAUGCCGCGUGAGUGAAGAAGGCCUUCGGGUUGUAAAGCUCUUUUGUCAGGGAAGAAACGGUAGUCUCUAAUACAGAUUGCUAAUGACGGUACCUGAAAAAAUAAACCCCCGGCUAAUUACGUGCCCAGCAGCCCCCGGUAAUACCUUGGGGGGCAAGCGUUAACCGGAAUUACUGGGGCGUAAAAGCGGGCGCAGGCGGGUUAUAUAACUCAAAUGUGAAAAUCCCCGGGGCUUCAACCUGGGGAACUGCUUUUGAAACUGUAUUGGCUAGAGUG